This is a long non-coding RNA of Dama dama (fallow deer), 4258 nucleotides long. RefSeq lists it as uncharacterized. The transcript has 3 exons. NCBI's taxonomy places the organism in Eukaryota, Metazoa, Chordata, Mammalia, Artiodactyla, Cervidae. The record is from RefSeq and is a predicted model, not a curated record.
UUGGCAGCAUUUUUUUUUUUCUUUCUUAAUAGUGUUUAAAACAAUAGUGGUGUCAUAGAUUUGAUAAAAUAAUGUGGCUGGGUGAUCCUGGGCAAUGACUUGACACCCUUCAAACCUCAUCUUUUCCCUCUUUGCUUUGGAUGUGCAUGUAUGUGUGUUAGUCACUUCAGUCAUGUCCGACUCUUUGUGACCCUAUGAACUGUAGCCCACUAGGCUUCUCUGUCCAUGGGGGUUCUCCAGGCGAGAAUACUGGAGUGGGUUGCCAUUCCCUUCUCCAGGGCAUCUUCCCGACCCAGGGAUCAAACCUGCGUCUCUUAUGUCUCCUGCAUUGGCAGGCAGGUUCUUUACCACUAGUGCCACCUGGGAAACCUUGGGGGUAAAAGUACUUUUAUGGUUGUUAUGAAGAUUAAAUAAGAUCAAGAGUGCAAAGCACUUAGUAAGUGUUCAAUAAAUAGCAGUCCUUCAUAGUACUAUGCAAAAAUGUUAUUAUUAUUUAGUACAGAAUGUAUACAGUCUCUAAAGAUCCUGCCUGUAGAAUCCACCUUUGCCACCCCGUUUUUGAAGAAGAAAAGAAUACAACCAUAUCAAGUUUUCUUUGGAAAAAAAUGACCCCAAAUGAAAUCUAGAUGAUUGCUUUGCGUGUUAGCUCUAAAGAAGUAGAUCUGAAAACAGUGUCAGGGCAACAAUCUCUUUUUCACUUUCAGUUCCUCCUGGCUGGAUGCUGGCACCAUUUCACAGCCACACUUCUGGGGACUCCUUGACUCAGGCUAGGACCUAGGGUAGUGCAGGUCUCCGCGCGCGCAGAGGUUUGGGGAAUGUUGAGAUCAGCCCUGCCCUGGGCCAGUUGCACUGCAGGCUUCCCUCCACAAAACUCCCGGGGGCUUCUCCCGUACCUCUGUAGCCAGGUUCUGAGGCCUCUGGUGUCCAGAAACCAGGGAUGGCAAACACGUGACCUGCAGUAAAAGCUUUUAUUGUUGACCUGCAGUGUGAGGAUUUAAUUUGCACGAUCCCUCCUGUGGAGGGAAGCCUAUGAAUCACGCCAGCCCAAGUGGCCUAUGUUUAGUGCUUCCAACCAACAGGCAAAAUCAAGACCCGCUGCCAAGGCUCCAGCCUCAGCUUCACAAACAGUGUCUCCUGCGUGGUGUGGGGAGCGACUGGGUGUUAGGAUUUCAUCACGUGACUCUGAGGGGGAACACAUUUAGACCAUAGCAGUGGAGGUACUUCAGUUUAUUUAGCCAGUUCCCAACUGAUGGAUGGGCUGCCCUGGUGGCCCAGAUGGUGAAGAAAAUGCCCACAACAUGGGAGAUCUGGGUUCAAUCCCUGGGUCGAGAAUAUCUCCUGGAGAAGGAAAUGGUAACCCACUCGAGUAUUCUUGCCUGGAGAAUCCCAUGGACAGAGGAUCCUGGCUGACUACAGUCCAUGGGGUUGCAAAGAAUCCGAGAAGACUGAGCAACUAACACACAGACACACACACUGCUGAUGGAUACUGCUGUUUGGCAGGACCCAUGUCCUUGGACCUACCUGCAUAACCCAGGAUAAUCUCACCAUCUCAGCAUCCUUCAUUGAACUACAUCUGCAAAAUCAAAGAGAUCUACUUACCAUGUAAGGGCUGGGACUCCGAGGAGAGGAUGAAGAAUCUUGGAAAGACACAGCAGAUAUCUUCUUUUGAGUGCUACUUGCAACAACCUAAGAAUGAACGUUUUCCCCUUGAGCCCACACUUGUCUUAGUUAUAUGUGGUUAUCUGUGUAGAAAAUUGAGGGCAGGAGGAGAAGGUGGCAACAGAGGAUUAGAUAGUUAGAUGGAAUCACCAACCUGAUGGACAUGAGUUUGAGCAAACUCUGAGAGAUGGUGAGGGACAGGGAAGCCUGGCGUGCUGCAGUCCAUGGGGUCGCCAAGAGUCAGACAUGACUUAGGGAUUGAACAACAAUAGUCUUUGUGGUUGAAUAGUGUGGAGGCCCAUUUUAAGCUGAGUUAGAGGAAAGGAUUUUCAACAUAGCAGUAUUCAAGUAAUCUGCUUGAAUGGUUGUUUUUCUGGAGUGAACCACAACUCAGCCUCAAACUUGCCUGGAAAGAGGCACCUGAAGAUGGUAUGUCAACAUCUAGCACCCUGACCCCACAUUCUAUUCCUGCAACUGUGUGCUCUGUGGGAGGCAGUGGGGCAGGGCAGUGAGGAGGGCUAAUGACCACAGGUUCUCAUCCUAAUUUAUCGCUACCAGGUAUGUGACAUGGACUGAGUUUCUCAAUCUUUUAUGCCAACAUACCUAACCCAGCAUCACUGGCUCAAUGGGCGUGGGUUUGGAUGGACUCUGGGAGUUGGUGAUGGACAGGGAGGCCUGGCGUGCUGUGGUUCAUGGGGUUGCAAAGAGUCGGACACAACUGAGCGACUGAACUGAACCUAACGCAGAGUAGGUUUCCGUUUCUUUCUCCAGUGGAUCUUUCAAUCCCUGAGUUGAGAAGAUCUCCUGGAGAAGGAAAUGGCGACCAACUCCAGUAUUCUUGCCUGGAAAAUUCCCUGGAUAGAGAAACCUGGAGGGCGGGUCACAAAGAGUCAGACAUGACUGAGCACAGGCGUGCACAAACCCCUAACCCAGAUAAGCAAAACACAGUCUUUCUUGGUAGAUUUUUGGCGUUCUUCAGUAUUUGCAAUGGUGGGGGCCCAUUACGUGAACUUUUGCAGCUCUGCUAUUGAGUUUUAAGGAAGAGACGUCUCAGGCUGAGUUCCGCUACACAUAGACAUUUAUUAGCAAGUAGGUACAGGACAUGCAUAGUCCCUGUUCAAUAAGCUUGGUGGACGCCUGGCUAUUGAUUCCCUAUAGCACCCCUUGCAUAAAAGUCACCUCUGAGGCCACUGCAGCUAUAUUUCAGUGGCAGGAUUCUGUGAGCGUUUUGUUGGAGUCAGGCAACCAGCAAAACUCUGGAAUCAGCAGGUACACUCAGGACCUUUUACAAAUGCUGAUCAGCCUUGGGGGUCAUUGACAAGGGUUAAGUUUCUCAUGGACCACUGAUGUCAGUGGCCCUUGAGAUUAUGUUUUUCAUCUAUGUAUGUUGAACAAGCUAUUAAUUUGACCAAUGGAAACUCAUGUUUAAUAUCCAUUAGGCUAAUGAAAAAGCUUCAAGUGCUGGUGAGAGAUAAAAACAGCUGAGGAGCUUGUAGCAGCUCGCUCUGGAGUGGGGCCUUCUGAUUAAAUGCAGCAAACCACCCCUGGAGUGUAUAUUCCUGAUUAGGGCUUGACUGUCCCAAGGCUGUAGGCCAAACGAACUAAUACACGUAUUUAUAGGACACUGUUUAUGCUGAAAUAUUUUAAAGCAAGCUACAGAUGACAUGAGACCUCUCACACCCUGGCUUCCUCUUCUGUAAACUGAGGGUAACAGUACCCACCUCACACGGUUGUCCCCAGACUACUAAACUAAGAGAAAGCUUAGUAUGUGGUUUAGGCAUUCAGUUGUGUCCAUCUCUUGCAGCCCCAGUCCAUGUGUCCAUGGGAGUUUCCAGGCAAGAAUACUGGAGUGGGCUGCCAUUUCCUUCUCCAGGGCAUCUUCCUGACCCAGGGAUCGAGUCCCUAUCUCCUGCGUUGCAGGUGGUCUGCAUUGCAGGCAGAUUUCUUUACCAACUGAGGCACCAGGGAAGCCCAAAGCUUAGUACAUUGGCUGGUAAAUACUAGCGGCUCAGAAAGUUUUAGCUGAUGUUGUUAUUUCCUGCCUAGAUAUACCCAAGCAACCUUUUUUGAGAAAUUAUGUACCCUAUCGAACACUACAAUGUUGACAUCUAAAACUUUUCAUUACAGAUGUACAUAAUAGCAAAGGAUUUAAUUUCUGACAUGUAGCAAUUAUUAUAAUUUUAAAUUAAGACUGAUAUAUCAAUCUUUUAAAUAUAUACAAUGGAAUCUAAAUACAAUGCUUAGGUGCCAGCUAUCCUGAUUUUAAAAGCACACAAGCAAACUUUUCUUUCCUGUGAAAACUCUUCUGUGAUAAAGUAGGGCAUUUUAUUUCUUUACUUUUUCUUCUUGAACUUGCAUUUCCAUUUCACUUACCCUACAAAAUUUUCUUCUAACAUAAUAUAUUGAAAGUCUCUUACUGAUUGGGCUGUUGAGUUUUCUGCAACAAAUGUAUGUAUGUAAAUAAAAGUUUUAUAAUUCAUUUUAUUUCCUGUUACCUUAAGGCUCCAAAUGUUAGAAAUAUUUAGUUUGGGUUACCAUCACAGUUAUUUUUUUGUGUGAGGAGUUGAUCAGAAUGGCAUAAAUGUAUGAUACAUUUUGA